GGCUGCAGCAUCUGUAUACACCUCACACUGCUUGUGUCCUCUUCCCAUCUUUUGAGCCCUCUACUGACCUCUUUGGCUACUCUUUGACAUUACAGGUAAAAAUAAAAAAUACAACAUAAUAAACUUUUUUACGCUGUGACACCUCGGGCCAAAGGUCUUGCUACGUUGUGAUUGACACAGAUGCCAGUCCUCAUUCCUCUCUUCACCAUCCGAGGUUUGCCAUGCGUCCUGACCGCGAAGUCUUCUUAAGGGGUGUGCUGAGCCUUUGAAACGUCUUGGGUGAAAAGUUGUUUGUCACACUUUUUGACUCCACACAUACUUCGGUCCCUGAAGAAGGAAACCCGAAACGCGUUGGGCCCAGUAUUAUAUCGUGGACUCUUCACUCUUUUCCAACCACACCCCAUUAAUGUGUUGUUUUUAAACUUUUGUAUUAUACAUGUUUAUCAUAUAUUGUUUGAUACCUUUUGUUACUAUUAAACUAUUACUUAUUUCUGUAUCUACUAUGACUACUUGUACUACUGUUGCCUAAAAAGCCCCACCCUGGGGGAUCCUCCAUUUUUUCUGUUCAUCAGGGGUGUCGGCAACUAUUUGAGACCAGACUAUCAAAGAUGUUCU
Molecule: long non-coding RNA, 615 nt
Organism: Rana temporaria (common frog)
Lineage: Eukaryota; Metazoa; Chordata; Amphibia; Anura; Ranidae
Exons: 4
Source: RefSeq, a predicted model, not a curated record